Molecule: long non-coding RNA, 29041 nt
Filed under: Solanum melongena (eggplant)
Lineage: Eukaryota; Viridiplantae; Streptophyta; Magnoliopsida; Solanales; Solanaceae
Description: long non-coding RNA (SMEL_LNC000216)
Source: RNAcentral
AAUGGUCUAACUAUCAAUUGCAGACGUUUAAUCAAUGAUUCUGCUAGACCGUCUUGAGUGUGAACAUGCACAACUGGAUGUUCAACUGUUAUACCAGUAGACAUACAAUAAUCAUUAAAUGUCUGAGAUGUAAAAUCACCAGCAUUAUCUAGAUGGAUUUUCUUUAUUGUAUAGUCUGAAAAUUGUGCUUUCAAUCUUAUUAUUUGAGCUAGCAAUCUCGCAAAGCCAUGUUGCGAGUUGAUAAUAAACACACAUGUGACCAUCUUGUAGAAGCAUCUAUCAAGACCAUAUAAUAUUUAAAGGGUCCACAUGCAGGUUGAAUUGGUCCACAUAUAUCACCCUGUAUACGUUCCAGAAACGCAGAGGAUUCAAUUCCAACCUUAACUGUUGCAGGUUAAAUUGAGCUUUCUUCUUUUUCUUCGUGCUGAUAACGUGUUGUAAAGAAAGCUCAAAAUAUAAGAAGAAAAAGACAAGAAAUAUGAUAGAGAAGAGAAUUUUUCUUAUUCAAGUGUAUCUUCCAAAUGGUGAGUGAUUCUCUAUUUAUAGUGUUGAGAUAUCACUUCAAAAGUCAUCUAAUUAAUAGAUACAUAGUUAUCUUGGAAGUUCUUAUCACCUUGAAAGCACCUAUACAUAAACCCAUUUAAUAGUGGAUAAAUCUAAUAGAUAAUCCACAUAUACUAUACAAUGAAUUUACAAGAAAUCUCAUAAUAUAAGAUGGAAAUCCAAAAAAUAUUUAAUGACUUUCAUUUUAUUAAUCUUUAAAAUAAUAAAUCCAUUAAUCUCAUUAAUAAAAGACGAAAAUAUAUCUAUUUAGUUAGGUAAUUGGAUUAAUUUCAUUUUAUUAUUAUUAGAAUAAUAUAUUUAUUAAUUUUUUUUUAUAUCUAAUGUGAUGUAUCAAACAAACAAAAUACUUAGAUAAUGUAUGUACAAUUGCACAGAUACAUUUAUUAUCACAUACUAACCUCUUAGAUACAUAAAAAUAUUAAUAGACUUUGAUAAGAUGAACAAAAAUAGAUUAAGAUGUAUCAUAAAUACAUACAAACAUAUCAUACAUACAUGCUAACCGCUUAUUCAGUAUGAACAAGUAAACUAUGAUACAUGGUGCACAAGUACACUAAUAUGGAUUAUAUAUUAAUUUCAUGUAUCUAUUAUGCAUAUCUUGUAUAAAUUUCAUAUAUCUAUUUAUAUGUAUAGUAUUAAUGUAAUCGAGUAUCAAUGUCUAUGUUAUAUCAAAAAAUGUGUAUGUAUCAUUAUAAAAACUUUUCGCUGUUAUAUUUUGUGUUUUGAUGAUCCUUAUAAAUUAAGGGACUUGGUCCCAAGCUAAGUUCUCUCGUCCUGAUCUAUAAUAAGGUACAAUUGUAAAAUUGUCGUGUCAAGGUUGGUGAGGCGUCCAUAUACUACACCAAUCAGAAUGAACGAGGGUGUUUGUCCAACAGAUAAUAACUCUUUAUGGUUGAUAUUUUCAACAUAACGAACACCAUAUUAAAUUCAUUCAUUUAAAGAAGGAAGUCAACCAGCAAACCUCUCAAGAAUUCAUAAAAAAUUUCGCAAGGGACCUGGUCCCUGCAAGACUGCGUAUGUGAAAGCAUGACAAGACAACUGUUAGAAAAAUUACCACCUCUGAUGUGGUAGGUGCAUGUCCUUUCAGAGAGGCAGACUCUCAGCCAAUGGGCGGUCCCAAGUAGUUUGUGUUCAUUUUGAUAUAAUCUCUUAAUGCAUAACACAAACUCAAGAUUUGGCAAACAAUAUUCUUAUGCUUAUUGUUUAUGACCAUAUGAAUGAAUGAUUGUACACUCACGUGGGAGUUAUGCAGGUUGCUUUUCAUCAUCAAAAAGAGGGAAAUCGAUAAAUGUUUAUGCUCUUAGAUGUAUUGAUGAUCUCCUCACAAGUGCGGGGACCUGUCAUCUACAUAGUAUGAAACUUGUCCAGUUGUCAAAGUGUUGUACAGUUGUAAAACCUAUCCGCAUCAGAAAGUUAGUGAAGCAGCAGAGUACUUCACCAAUCAGAAGCGACGUAGUUGUUUGUUUGAUGGGUAAUAAAUCUUCAUAGUAUAUAUAUCAAACAAACAACAACAAUAUUCAUUCAUUCAUUUAAAUAGAGAUAUUAUCUAGCUUCAAGAACAAAAAGGGAACUGAUAGAAGUGCUUUCAUUGCUUUUUGUACUUGUUACAUUCGCUUGCUUGUAAUUGUUCUUAUAUUGUAGGAUUCGUUUCAUUUGUGAAAGAAACAUUUCAAACAUAGGUUAAUCAUUGUAAGGGCUAAGUUAAGGGUAACUUAGGUUCUUACUCUAAGUACAUAUUAAUCAGAUAGGAUUAAUAUAGAGAGCGGUGUUGUAUCUGCUUAGUCUCAGUUAAGCGAUAUGUAGUAUUACUUAGUGGAGAGUUUAGCAGGCUAAUCUCUUGUUGUAAUCGUCUUUUACUUUUUCUUGUUGAAGAUUAGUGAAAGCGGUUUGAAAAGUCCUACUGAGAACAGAUCGUGGUUUUAUUCCCUUGAGCAAGGAGGUUUUCAUGUAAAGUUACUUGUCAAUAUUUACUUUCGGUAUUUGUUCUUUCCCAUUUUGAUAAGUGGACAUAUACAUUCUAUCAAGUGGUAUCAGAGCUUGGACUCUCUAUUUGGUUAGAGAGAGAUUCUUGCAAGGACUGUCAACAACAGUGAGUGUGCAAAGAAAACAGUCUCCACAAGGCCACCUCUUCUUGAUGGUCAGUUCUAUAGAUGGUGAAAUAUUAGAAUGAGAGAUUAUCUCAUGGCCGAGGACACUGAAGUGUGGCACGUAAUAUUUGAAUGUCCUUAUGUGCCAACCAUGGAUGUUAAGGUUGUAGAGAUAACACGAGUCAUCCCCAAAACUAGAAAACAAGAUAAUGACUCUGACAAGCAAGUAACUUGGAAAAAUUACUAAGUCAAGAAGCUGCUUAUGUGUGGCAUUGGAAUGAAAGAAUACGAUCUUAUUUCUUCGUGCGAAUCAACCAAAGAAAUUUGGGAUCUGAUGAGAACUACUUUUGAUGGCAUUGAGGAAACAAUGAAAUCUAAGCUAGAUUUCUUUACUCCCCAACUCGAAAGUUUCAUCAUAGAAUAAGGUGAACCUGUUCAUUAAAUGUAGACAAGAUUCUCCGCCAUCCCCAAUGAGCUCAUGUUUCUUGAUGAACCUGUCCUGGUGUGCAAGCAAGUCUCUAUGAUAUCGAAAAUUCUUUCCAGAUCUGAUGAGACAAAGGGCCCUGAACAAGAGACUCUAAAUACUCUAUUUGAGCUUCUUCAAGAUAAUGAGUUGCAUAGAAAAAAGGAGUGUCUCAUUUUGAAGGGCAAAGACAAGAGGACAGAUCUGAUUGAUUGAUGAGUCUGACCAGAAGAAAGAAAAUCAUGAAAAGGCUACCAGCUCAAGGAAAGAGUGUCACAAGUGUAAUCAACCAGGUUACUCCAUUGGAAAUUGUCUUAUAUACCAGGCCGACCAAAGAGAAUAUGUCAAAACUACAGAAGGUAAAAACAAAGAGGGGAACCAGGUCCUUCUCAAGAUAAACAGAAGAGAAGCUUUCUUUAUGUUGGUAAAGAAGGAUCUGGCUUCAUGGGAAAAUUCCUCAAAUGAUGCUUUCAUGGCAAAGUCAGAUGAAGUAGAUGUUGAUAAAAAGGUAACUCUAUCCUAUUUCAAACAAAACUUGAAUACCUUUUCUACUAAUAAGUUGAGAAAUCUAGCUGUUGUAUUACUUGAUUUGAUAAGCGAGCUGACAAAUUAAAAGGAUCUCGUAAACAAUAGUCUAGACAUCUUUCAAGAUGGAAAAAUUUCUUUAGUUUGCCUAACUAUCUGAUAUUGAAAAUCAAAUAGUUGUUCUAGAAACUAAAAAUCUACAAUUGAAGGAAAAGAUAACAGGGGCGACUACUACAAUUUUUAAAGGAAAUAAUGAGGCCAACAACUUGCAGUUGAAGCUUAAAGUUAAGUUGCGCACUGCUGAAAUGAAGAUGAAAUUGGCUCUGGAGAGAAAUCGUGUGCUAGAAAGGGACCUAUUCCAUGUAAAAGAGGAAUUAAAAAAAUCCCUCAAAUGGACCAUUCCUCUAAGAUUCUUACAAAUCUAAUCGGUCAAGACAACAGUAGAAGAGGGAUGGGCUGUGACAAGAUAAAAUGCUCUUACAAUACUCAAAGAAAAAAUGUUGCCGAUGCUAAUAAUCUGCUGUGUGUGAAUUGUGGUCAAGAUGAACAUCUUAAGAAAGAUUGUCCAAUUUUGAAAAAAUAUGAAGGAAGUUUGUCAAACUAUUCCAAAUAGUAGAAUAGACUGAGGAAGGGACCUAGUCCUACUUAUGGUCCUAUGAUGAAGAAAAGCAGUUUGCCUCACUGGACAAGAAAUUUUCUUGUCACUCCGUUAUCUACUUACUGGGAACUUCGACUAAAGUGGGUUUCCGAAGCUAAAAAGUGAUACGGUAUGGAGGUGAGAUGAAGUAGCAGCAGUCUGUGGUGGUUCAUGAAUAAGCAGAUGCUCCAAGCACGUGACUGGGAAAACGGAAAAACUUUCUCUCUUUCAAGGCACUUCAAGGUGGAGGUGUCUUAUUUGACAAUGAGAAGAAAGGGUAUUUUUGGGGGGAAGACAUGUUUGGAAAAUCUAUGGAACACACUAUUUAGGAUAUGUACUAUGUCAAUGGUUGAAGUAGAUCUUUAAGUGUUUAGGGUGGCAAUUUCAGCUCAUAUUAAUAAAACAUGUCCAUUUUGACCAUAUUUAAUGACUUGGAUCACUUAUAUUUUAAUUGGUUAAAUAUGAGCUUCAAACUAUUUUAAGAGUCUUUACAAAUAUGAUCAAAAUGGAUUAAAUAUGGGUAUUCAUAUUUGACCCAUAAUAGAUCACUUAUUUUCACUUCCACUUUCACUCAAUAUUCUUAAUUGUUCUAAAAAAUAAAAAAUUAAAUAUUAUUUUUUCAGAAAUAAUUUUUUUUUUUUUUUGCAAAAACAAAUCUUUUUGUUUUUGAAAAAAAAAUUAGGGGUAGGUUGAUGGAAGUUGGAGGGGGGAGGGGAGGCGAGGUAGGGGGUAAAUUUUUUAGUUUUUUUUGCAAAAUACAUUUUUUAAUAAAGCAAAAUAAUUUAGGGGUAGGUUGGUGUAAGGUGGGGGAGGGGGUGCGUUGGGGCGGGGGUGAGGGGGUAAAAUUUUUUUUUAAAAAAAUAAUUUUUUUUUCGAAAAGCAAAAAAAUUUAGGGGCAGGUUGGUGGAAAGUGGGAGGGGGGGGGGCACCACGAGGGGUGGGAUGGAGGUAGGGGGUAACUUUUUUUUUUUUGAAAAACAAAAAAAUUUAGGGGUAGGUUGGUGGAAGGUGGGGGGAGGGCGGUCCGGGGGGUGGGUGGGUGGGGUUAGGCGGAGGUACGGGGUAAAAUAUCUUUUUUUGUUUUUGAAAAAUAAAAAAAAAUUAAGGGUGGGUUGGUGGAAGGUGGGGGGGGGGGCCUAGGGGGUGGGGGUGCCUGAGGGAGGAGGUAAUUUCUUUAUUUGAAAAAUAGAUUUUUUAAAAUGGGUUGAAACCAUUUUACCCAAACCAUAUUUGACCAAAUCCAUAUUUGCCCGUAUUCUAUUUGGAUGGAUUGUAAUCCAAACCAUUUUUGCUCAAUCCAUUCAAAUCAAUCCGCUCCAACCAUUUGCCACCUUCUGUGAUGAUUGAAAUAAAGUUAAGUUGUUAUCAGAAAGAACGUGUGGUCACAAACUUGAUCUUGCUUUCUUGGGCGAUGAUCUUGAUAGAAAAGAGAUGAAAGAACAUGCAUAUUGCAGAUCUGAAUAUUGCUCGUAGUGACAAUCACACUUGCCUUGCUCAAGACGAUAAUGCUGAGUUAUAACACAAAAAAGAUGCUUAUGCGGGUGUUGCUCUGCUGCACAAACUUGUCAGAGGGGAUUUGGUCCCCAGACUACACAAAAUGAAAUUUUCAGAUGACAAAGGUUGUGAUAAUGGUGUUAAAGAGAAGCAUAUCUGACCAUCCUUCAGGUAAAAUAUGCAGACUUUUAAUCUUACAAGAACCCUCGGGCUGAAGUGAUGAAUGUAACACUUUUUAUGACAAAAAUGAUGAUAUUGAGUAGUGUAAUCUCAAUGAUUUUGAAAGAGUAUGUGUGGGAUAAUCUUCCUCCAGCAAGGCUUAUCUGGUGUAUAAAAUGUUUGCAUUGAAAAAGAUUUUCAUGAUGAGUCUUGAAGAAUUGAGAAGCAAAUUGCAAAACAAAGAAGAUUCUGAGAUGGAAGAGAUGUUUUAUAUUCAGAGAGAUGAUCUAAACUAUGAGCUUGCUGAAGAACAUCCUCUUCAUAAAUCCCGCAAUCUGAAAGAAGAUGAUGCAGAUGAUGAACAUGAUGAGGGACCCGGUCCUAUAUACAACAUUAAACAAAAAUUAUGUAGUUCAAACUGAUAAUGUGAAUGCAGAAGAUGAGAAUGAAAAAGCUGAUUAAGCUAAGUUUGCAAGAAGCAAUGUAUGAUACUCGGUUCCCCCAAAAGCUGAUAAGUUGUCCAAAUUCUUCUUCAAUAAUGUCUUCAAAAGAGGUAAAAUUGUCAAAACCCUCUUUUUGAAUAUACUAGGAAAGGAAUUGCUGACUGUUCGGGUACAUAUUAAUCAUGUCAUCUUUGGAGCUACCUUUUGAAUUAUUUUGUGAAAAUUUGUUGCAUUUAUGGGUAAUGGGUUCUAAAUAAGCACGAUGGGAAAUUUCCUCUUAUAUCUACAGAUUCAGCUAAACUUUAAAGGUAUACUCGAUUUUCCAAAAAAAUACAUCAAUGAGCUGCUCAAAAGGCUUAAAAUACUUGAAGUCAUGACAAUGUUUAAAAAUUGGUAAUGUCAUUAUAGAGUUUCACAAAAUGAAAGAUCAAGUGGCUGACAUCUUCACACAAGGCCUAAGCAAGGACCAGCUUGUUAGGAACAUGUAUGUACUCACAGUGACUUAGCUGAAGGGAAGAAGAUAGCACAACUUGAUCAGGGCAAUUAAUGUAUGAACAAAGAAAGGGACCUAGUACCAGUUCAAUGAAGGUCCUGAAGGUUUCAUGCUAUGAGUGCCUAGACAUAUCAUACUCUCUUGGGUACUAACUUGAAGCUGGAUGCUGAGGAAUCGGGUUCAAAGACACUACUCAUAUUCGAAGAAACCACUUUUGGAGGCUGCUAAUAGAAUCCGAAGAUAUUUGAAGAAGACAGGGAACCUGGUACAAUUUUGUCCAUCAGGAGACUUUUUGAUUUGGGUACAUGGUGAUGUUGAUUAUGCUGUGUAUCAAGCUGAUGGAAAGAGUACCUCAAGAGUGGAUUAUGCUAUAGGCUGAUCUUUCACUCAUGAGGAGUUAAAAGGCAAGAUUCAGUUGCUCUUUUAUCAGUUGAGGUAGUAAAUGUAGCAAGUCCAGCUUGAUAGACUCAAAUCUUGUGGACGAAGAAGCAGCCUGAAGCUCGUAAAACCUGGAUGAAAUAAUCAAGCUGAUGAUGGAAAUGCUAAAACUUUCUUGAAUGAAUCAUGCCUGACGCAAUAAACUCUCUCAUGACUAUGCAAAGGGAGCGGGUAUCCUUGUUUUUCGUUAUGUAUGUUUUAGCAAGUUCGGUCUUAUACGUUUGUAGGUGUACACACGUGGAAAAGGGACUGAAGAAAAAGGGAGGUCAAGACAGAUCUAGGAAAUCACAUUCAAACAACAGAGAGAGACCUGGUUCUUCUCGAAGGUUACCACUGUUAACAUUGCAGUUUGAAUUAUGCAUGAGAACCUUGAAAUUGUCACAUGUCUUUCAUUCAGGUAUCUGAUCGUUGUCCCAUCUCUUGAAUACCAAAAUGGCACUUUCUUUCACAUAAUAUACCAUUUCACUUUCUUUAUAUUCCAUAUUCCUUCCAUAUCCCUAGAAAAAUCAAUUUACCUUCCAAAUAUAAGAGUUUUUUUAAACCCUCUUUUUUCCUCUCUAGAAAAAUGCUUCAAAUUGUUAAAUCAUUUGUUCUUACUAGAGAAUUUUUUGAUGAAGAUGUUUUUAAGUGUGAAAAGGGACCAGGUCUCCCAAUAAAAUGAAGAAGUGGAAAAGACGAUGUUCAAAAAGGAAAAAAGUUGAUAUUCGAAGAACUCAAUUCUGAAGAGGAGGGUGUUUAUUUUUUUUUUAAAAAAAAACUAAAAAAUAAAUGAAAAAAAGAAAUUUUCUUUUUGAUUCCUCAAUUGUUGAUCUAUUCAUCUGGAGGCCUUGAGUAGUUUGUUUUACCAAUCUUUCUGUUAUGAGAAACUCAAGCCAAAAUCUGAAGUUAUGAUAGUGUUAUUGCUAGCAGAGUUACUGAAAUGGUUUGCGUGCAAGCUCAGCUUCUGAAAUAGAACUAUCUGAGGGACCAGGUUGAAUUAAAAAUAAUGGCAGCUCUGAAGGUUCAACAUAAAGGUUGGGCAACACAACAUGCUGAACGUCAAGAGAGACUUUAGAAAAUACCAUGCUAAGGGAAUUGUUCUACUGAUUCUAUUCUUGAAAUCCCUUGCCACUAAGUCAUCCCUUCUCUCCCUAAAUUUCUUUGUCAAUCCUCAUUCCUCUUUCUCCAUCGAAAAUAUGUGGCAUUGUCAUGGUUUUCAUUCGUAAUCACUUUUGUAAUGCUUUGAUGACUGAUCUUUUAUUUAUGGAUGAAAAAAUGUCUUGUUUCGACUAACUUGUCUCAAUAAUUUAUGCAUUUUUACUCAUACUCAGUGUUACCAAAGUAGCCAUGAAUUUUCGUGAACCGCAUUUAUGUCAACUUCGUUUACAAUUUUAACAUUUUUUAUGAUGUCAAAAGGGGGGAAAUUGUUAUGGUAUGAGAUCAAUGAUGUUAGCUAUUUGAAAAAGACAUGGGGCAUGCUGAUAGGGGGAUCAAUUCUAGAUACUUGAAAAGGACAUGACAAUGCCGAUAGGGGGAAGAAGUUAUUUGUCAUCAUCAAAAAGGUUGAAAAUACUACUUUGAUGUUUUGAUGAUUUGGAAAAAUUUGGGAAUGAUGAAAUUCAGUUACCCAAAGAGUUCUUGUUGAUAGGGGUAACUGGUGAAUAGGUCUAUUAUCAUCAAAAAGGAGGAAAAUGUUGUUCAUAGUUGAUAUGAAGUUUUGAUGAUUCAACAAACUUAGCGAUCUAACAAGGAAUCAGAUCCUUGUUACUGGGACUGGUCAUAGUGAAAUGAAUGAUAAACUUAGUGUGAGGUAUAUUUGUGUGUUAUCAUCAAAAAGGGGGAAAAUGUUAUAUUCUAGGUGUUUUGACGAUCCUCACAAAUGAAGGGAGAUGGUACCAAGAUGAGUUCUCUCGUCUAGAUCUAUAAUGGGGUACAAUUGUAAAGCUGGCGUGUCAGAGGUUGGUAAGGCGUCAACAUACUACACCAAUCAAAAUGGACGAGGGUGUUUGUCCAAUGAAAAAUAACUCUUUAUGGUUAAUAAUUUCAACAUUGACGAACACCAUAUUAAGUUCAUUCAUUCAAAUAAAGAAGUCAGUCAGCAAGCCUCUCAAGAAUUCAUAAAGAAGUUUGCAAGGGACCUGGUCCUUGCAAGACUACGUAUGUGAAAGCACGACAAGACAGCUGUCAGAAAAGCUGUCACCUCUGAUGUGGUAGGUUUACGUCCUUCUAGAGAGACAGACUCUCAGCCAAUGGGUGGUCCUAAGUAGUUUGUGUUCAUUUUGAUAUAAUCUCUCAACACAAAACACAAACUUAAGAUUUGACAAAUAAUAUUCUUAUGCUUAUUGUUUAUGGCCAUAUGAAUUAAUGAUUGUACACUCACGCAAGGAGUAAUGCAGAUUGCUUUCAAUCAUCAAAAAGAGGGAAAUUGAUAUGUAUUUAUGCUCUUAGAUUUUUUGAUGAUAUUGCGGGGACAUGGUGCUAUGCAGAGUAUGAAACUCGUCCAGUUGUCAAAGUGUUGUAAAAGUGUAAAAGCUAUCCGCGUCAGGAAGUUAGUGAUGCAGAAGAAUACUUCACCAAUCAGAAGGGACGAGGUUGUUUGUUUGAUGAGUAAUAACUCUUCAUAGUAUAUAUAUCAAACAAACAACAACAAGUUUUAUUCAUUCAUUCAAAGAGAGGUAUUUUCAAGCUUCAAGAACAAUAAGAGAACUGAUUGAAGUGCUUUCAUUGCUUUUUGUAUUUGAUGCAUUUGCUUGCUUGUAAUUGUUCUUAUAUUGUAGGAUUCGUUUCAUCUAUGAAAGAGAUGCUUCAAACCUGGGUGAAUCAUUGUAAGGGCUAGGUUAAGGGUAACUUAGUUUCUUACUCUAAGUCUAUAUUAACAGGGUAGAAUUUGUAUAAAGAGUAGUGUCGUAUCUGCUCAGGUUCAACUAGGUGAUAUGGAGUAUUACUUAGUGGAGAUAUUUGCAGACUAAUCUCUUGUUGUAAUCCACUUUUACUUUUGCCUGUUAAAGAUUAGUUAAAACGGUUUGAAAAGUAUUGUUGAGAACAUGUCUUGGUUUUCCUCCUUUGAGCAAGAAGGUUUCAACGUAAAGUUACUUGUCAAUAUUUACUUUCGGCAUCUGUUCUUUAAUGUUGUGUUAUUUAUGUAUUGAGGACCUGAUCCCAUCUAUAUAAGUAGAUGCAUACAUUCCAACACUCGGUAAUGUGAGUGUAUAUAUAUCUCAAGAACCAUUGCUGGAUCCAAGCAAUCUCUUGGCCUGACUAAAGACUCAGAGGAAGACUUACUCAACACAAAGAACUUUAAAACUAAAAUUUUGGACCUGAAUAUCUCAAAUGAACAACUCAAAAUAUAAUAGAAUAUUCAAUUAGCCAGAAAUAGACAACUCAAGUCUUUAAAACAUUUUACAAAGAAAUGAAAAGACUCAUAAACUACUACUGUCUAUCUAUCUAUGAAGCCUCUAAUACUAUGAGGGAUGUCGAGACAAGACCCUUGAUGAAGAAAAAUAAGGGAUCCUCCGAAAGCAAGGAGACUCGCCAAACAACUCUAGAAUUCGACUAGAUCAAGGAAGCGUUGGUUGAUGAUUUUGGUUACCUGUAUUUGCAUCAUGAAUGAUGCAAGCCAAAUGGCGUCAGUACAUGGAAUGUACAAGCAUGUAAGGGGAAUACUGAACAUAACAUAAAAGCUUGAACUUGGAAAGAAGAAACAUACUCACCUCGACUUUACUCAACUCAACCUCAACUCAUGGAUACUCAAUUCAAUGCAGUAUAAAAGAACAAUAAAAACCAAUUUAUAUAAGCAUUUAAUACUGUAAAUAACAACUCAAUGUAUUUAAAAAUACAACAACAACUCAGUUUGUAUGUAAAGAUACAAAAUCACUCUGUUUGGGAAAUUCUCUAACGGACAACCAUCACUAUAAGCUAUGUGAUGAUACAACGUCUCGUCUAAGCUGCAAAACUGUCACAUAAGACAUUAAGCAAUCUUUUCUGUCAUCGAUUGACUCCCAAAGUCCAGAGGGAAACAACCCAGAUAAUACACUAGAUCCGCAAGCAAUUACUUAGUGAAGAAGGAAGUGCUCGAGUGAUGAAAAUCAGGAGGUGGUCUUGGAAGCAGCCAUCCUUUGAAAAAAGCGUAAUAGCUCACUAGUCUAGCUCCAAAUGACCCAGGCAUUUUCCUUUGGGAAAGGAGGGUUGUUAAGUAGGCAUAAAACUCUUCCUAUGUUGUAUUUAAUCAUGAAUUAUCAACAAAUCAAUUAGUAGUAUGUCUAUUCCAGAAGACCUUCCACGGAUGAUUUCUAGCUAGUGUGUCGCGAGUAGUUUCUCGAGACCUCUAUAUAUCUCAGCCUCGGAUUAGUAUCAUAUAUCGCUCUAGAGAGCAUUUUGUUGUUGUAGUGCGGAUGUUGGGAGGAGCCGCUCCUCUAUGGUAAGGAUGAUUAAAUAAGAUAGAAUUAAUAAUUUAAAGACAAAACUGAACUGACCGAUAAACAAAACAGAAAAAAAUGUUAUUGGAUUUUCAAUGGGUUUAUUAAAAAAAUUUAUUGGGGUUAUUGGUUCGAUAUCAAUUUUUACUAUUAGAUUAUUGGGUAAAUUGAUAACCCUAUAAGACGGUAAUAAUUUAUUAUGUUAUCCUUCCUAAUCAUUAAAUAUAAAUAAUUUAAUGUACAAUUGGACACUAUAACUAUAUCAAAUUAUCAGUUCUCUACCAACUUCAAACUAGACACUUUACUUGUUUUUACUGUUCAAUAAAAACCUAAAGACUAAAGUUAGGUUUCACAAUUGUAGCUAUUUGUUUUUAGUUUUAAUUUUAGUUUUAGUCUUGUCGAACUAUUUUAUUUUAGUUUUAGUUUGUAAUUGUAGGCUGUAGCAUUUGCAAGUUUGUAAAGGUCCGUAAUUUGAUUAACACAAAAGAUUCCAUACUAUAUUUUGGUGGUAACAUGUAAUUAUAGCCUUCUUACAAUAUUUUCUCUUAUUGAUGCAAUUUUAAUUAUCUUUCUUGUUUCACUAUAUCAAAGCUUUUAGAGAAGUUAGAAGACAUAUAAUAUUUUACGAACAUUUUCUUAUUAGGUAAAUCGAAAACUGAACCGAUAAUGAUCAAAACUGAUAAACCGAAAAUUGAUAAAGAAUAUUUUAUCAAAAAUUGAUAAACUGACCGAUGCACACCCGUGGUGAUUAGUUUAUUAGGAUUAGUUAUUAUUUUAUUUUUUUACAAAAAAAUAAUAAUAAAAAUAUUAACUGACUAUUAUGAACUAAUAAAAAUAUAAAAAAUUUAAAUUGCUAGGGUAAGAAAUAUAAUUAAGACAAUACUAACUUAUUUAUAACACCAAAAAUAAAAGAAAACAGAUAUUUUUUGUAAUGUUUCUUUACUUUCUUAAAAAAAUAUAAAACUUACCUAAAAUGUGAUUUAUAUUUUGUUGUUUUCAAAUAUUUUGAAAUAAACUUGAUAAAAUAAGAUAAAAAUCAAAAAAUUUAAUUCAAAAUUUUAAGAUACAUUCAAGCACUAAAAAUGGUGUGAAAGUUUAAGUUCGGUAAAAGAUUAUGUGUCUACAGCUAUGCCCGGUGGCGUAGCCACCCUUAUGUCAGGUUGUCUAAUUGGACACCCUUAAUCGGAUAACUAUACCGUAUAUACAAGUAAAUAAUAAACAAAGUGGCUAAAUAACAUAUUUUGGCCACCCUUGACACCACAAUAUAAUGUAAUCUAGUGGUUUCAGGUGCCUUGAGAUCUGUUAAGAUCUACACGAACUUAAAGUGUUUGUAUGUUCGAAUCUCAAAAGUAACAAUUUUUCUCCACUUUUUAAUAAAAGCGGGUUCACUUUAACACUUGGAGACCCUUUUUGAAAUUUCUGUCUCCGCCUAUGUCCAUCACUUUUUAAAAAAUGUUUGACCAACAUUUUUACCCAAAAAAGCGACAGACGAAGCGACAUCAUCAGUCGCUUCUUUAAAAUGUUAGACCAAAAACAACGGACAAAUCAAAAUAAAUGACCGAUAUAACGUCAUUGUCUGUCGUUUUUAAUAAAAAAAAUUAAAAAGAUGGACAAUUUCUCAAAUGGCAUCGCUUAUUUGGAGCGUCAACAUUUGUCAUUUUUGGAUCUAUCCUUUUUUGCCAGUUUUUUAAUAGUGUUCUCUUUAAUUGGUGAAUGUAUGUUUUGAUAAGACUUUUGAAUACUUAAUAUUAAUAAUUAUGUCUAAAUAUUUAUUCUAGUAGAAGUGAUAUGGAAUUUAGUUAUUGUUCUACUUCAAAUAUAAAAUUCUAAUCAAAAUAGUGGUAGAAAAAGACAAUUUCUGACACAAGUGUUUGUCUCUAAAAAAAAGUAUCCAAAUUUUUUUCCCCUAUUUUAUAAACAUGAGACAAUAACUCAUAAUAUAUAUAUAUAUAUAUAUAUAUAUAUAUAUAUAUAUAUUUCAAAAUAAAUUUUUGCAUACCAAAUACACACAAAUAAUGAUACUUGAUUUACCACUUAAAAAAUUUCAAAGAUGCUUCUGGAAAUGACUUGAGAUUCGCACUCUGGUAAGACCACACACAUUCAUGAGUUCAAUAAUUUUCUCAGGGUAACAUCCUACUUAUUCCAUAAAAAUAAAAAUGUAAUUUAAUAACUACAAUAUUUCCAAAUCAAGCAAAGACACAUGCAAAUACAAUAAGCGUUACGCUUUAAUUUCAAAUGAGAUGAUGUUAGCUAAAAUUAUGAACUGAUGUACAUAUCGCUCCAUAGAAACGAAUAUAAAUUUCAUUCUUAGUAAAGUAAACUUACUUUGUUAACCAAGUCGUUGCAAGCUUUUCAUAAAUUUUUGUCACUAUCCAAAAUCGGGCUAUAAUGACGCCUACCACAAACCGGAGUAGGCAGGCUAAACCCAAACAAAGAUUUUGUAGAAGAUAAACAAUUUAAAUAACAAUAAUAAAGACUAAGAAUAAGCGGAAACAUGAAUAACAUAUAGAAAUGGGUCAUAGUAUAGAACUGUAAAUACGAAACAUAGUGUACGAAAUAGGCCCAAAAGUGACCAAGAAAACAAACGAACAUAAGACCUAAUACCCACACCUAGUGUCGCCGAUACAUGAGGUACUAAGUACAGAAAGGCUAUAUAUACGAAAGAACUGACUAACAAAUUACAAAAUACAAGUCAUUAAAAAGGAGAGAAGACAUCAAGUCUGGAAAAGAUCUUUGAAUUUCAGUGCUUACAAUGAGCAAAUAAUGUGACAACCAAGGGAGAUCCAACACUCACUAAGGGUGGAUAAUACUAAGAGUUGCAUCAGAAAAGAUGUAGAAGUGUAGUAUGAGUACUAAAACACGCCAAGAGCUAACCAUGAUCUCGCUAUGUUAUAGCCGAGGGAGACCCAACGCUCACUGAGGGUAACUCAUACUGAGAGCUACAUUAGAAAAAAAUGCAGAAGUAUAGUAUGAGUACUAAAGCACAAGAUACUCAUCAAGCACCACACACAGACUGAGAUCAGAAAGAUCAAGUAUAUAAAGAGAAUUAAUGAUGAUACUCGAAUUUCAAGGAUAGGUUCUAAGAUACGAUUAAACUAAUACAGAGACAAGAAAAAAUACUAAUAACUCAAGUCCAAGGUACACACAAAUACAAGACAACCACAAGAACACUCAAUAGUUAAAUCACUCAAUAAUGCCAAUGAUGACUGAAGGAGCUAAGAUGUAUGAUACCUAAGACUUAUCAAUAAUAUACUAGUAACCCAUAUAUAACUCAAUGGACUGCCAGGAAUACUACCUUGGACUUAUUAACAAGUAUAGAUAUUAGAAUGUAGGCCAAAACUAAGUCAAUGAGCCACCUAGAAGGAUACCUCAAACAUAUUAGUAUAAAAGUAGACGAAAAGUACAUACAAUCAUAAAAACAAAUGUUUUCCUUCCAUUUAAAUCAUAAAGUCUCAAGAUCUUCCAAAUUAUUCGUAUAACCCCCUUUUGACCAUUUCAAAGGCUAUAUAAAAGAUAAGCGACCAAAUUCAACUACCUUGCUCUAAUAUCAUCACGAAUCUCAAAUCUCAACAUCAAAACCACAACACGAAAAACACACAUUUAGCUAUAUCCCAUCACAACACAGUGUACUAACACGAAACUUUAGUUAGUCGAAAGUUCACAACCUUGGGUUCAACAAUCAAUAUGAACAUAGUUUAUAAGCACCACAAUAGCAACAAAAAAAUUUAAACCAAGAAAAGAAAACGUGUUAAAAUAAAUUUCACACACACUAGAAGGAUACCAUCACUAAGGAUCAACAUAAACUUAGACCUUCCGGCUAAAACUACACUAAGUAAUCCAAAAAUGGUCAUGAAUUGUCUAAGGAACAAGUAAGCCUAAGCUAACCCUAAAUUCCAAUCUAACAUUCUGUACUACUAAAAAUAUAAUCAAUCUAAAUGAGACAAGUCUAAGGAAAGGGAAAUCAUAACCUACCUCAAGACCAAAGUUGAACCUCUAAUUCAGUGUUUUUCCCUUCUGAAGGACCUUUGAAUGGUUCCAAGCUAUCAACAAUGCAAUGGGAACACAAAAACAACCACAAUAAUACUCAUAAUAAGAAUAUGAAAACAGAAAUAUAACCCCAUUUACACAAUCUGGGAACUAUAUACGAAGUCAUAAAAUUGACUCUAUCAUGAGUUCUCAAAUUGUCCAAGGAAGUUGUGCCCCAAAAUGGCCAUAAUCCAAGCCACCAUUGAGAAAAUACCGCCUUUCCAAUAUUAAGAUCAAUAAGGAUCAAAUAUGGAGAAUUAAAGAGGAAAUUAAUAGAAUUACCAAGGUCAGUGGAAGAUUCAAUGACCCCAAAAUGUGCUCAUGCAAUUUCCCGAUGCAACUCACCAAUAAUCACUCUACUCCACCAAGUAAAGCUCUAAAAAUUGCCAAAAUAUCAAUUCUUUAUUUAAAGAAUGCAUGUUGAAAAUGAAUUUUUAAAAAUUAUAAAUGCCAAUUGAUUACCCCUUCGUAAAUACCGUGAUCAUCCAUGUUAACACUUUUCGAAUGCAACUAGAGGUCGGAACACUAAGGCUAGGAACAACAACCCUCUGUGAUCGUCGAACGACUCACACAAAUAGAAAUUUCUCAGCAGGUCAAUGUCACGAUCCAAAGUAAUACCCUACGCGUAACAUGACUUAUAGAACCCCGAGAGAUACUACACAAGCCACUUACAUACAUCAUAUAAGAUAAUAGAAAUAAAUAUUUUAUGAAAUAAUCUUAUAGCAUAAGUCUCAACAAAAUAUUUAUUACAUCAAAAGAAGUGAUUGGAGGUAACCCAUAAAUCACAUACAAUGUCUGAAAACUAAAACAAAAAAAGCGAUAAAAGUGUCUUGGUCCUCAAAACAUGAGGACUCACCAAUCCUUGAGUGACAAAAGAUUAACUAGCAACGAGUGUGAGAGGUAGGAGCGUCAGACCCUACAUUAGUGAAAUAAUGUAGACACAAGUAUGCAUUAGUACAUAUAAUAUACUAAGUACGAUAACAACACAUAAGAGUUAUGAAAUCAUCCCAAAAAUCACGUUACAUGACAUGUAAUGACCAAGCUAAAUCAUAAGAUCAAGGGUUACAAAAUAUAAGUCAUAAUCACGGUCAAUUCUAGCUUAACUACUGCGAAAACAUUUAUGAUAUACUAGAAGUAAUAUUAGUUCAUUAAUCAUUACUAUGGGAAGUCUACUAUGUAAUCGACAUAGAAAAUGUGAUCCAUAUCAUGGAAUCCAGUGUCUAUCCAUAUCGAAAAGAGAUGUCAUUACUUUCCAAGGUAAGAACCAUCAGUCUGAGCUAAAGUGGAUCCACAAGCUAGUGUAUAUUUGAGACCAAUCCUAUUGUGGCACAUAGUUUAUGGGCAAUGGGUAAUCGUCGCAAGUCCACUCAAUGCUAAGUAAAAUUCAACAAAAAGUCAUUAAUCACAAACAGAUUAUUAUCGAUAGAAAAAGGUACCAUUUACGAAAUCAUUCCAACCUAGAGUUCAUUUAGAAUAGCUCCUUAGCUUGAUUUAACUUAGGUGAGAAAACCUUUCACAAACAACAUUGCCACUUUACUCUCAAUCAUCCUCAAAUCAUUUACAUCAACUUUAUAAAAAUAUAUGUAUCAUCUUCAUAAUUACAUCUUUCCAGUUCAUCAGUUUCAUCAUGUGUCCAUUGACAAAAAUCAUGUAUCAUGCGUAGGUUAAUAUGAAUUAAACUAAAAAAUAUUUAAUUACUUCAAUUCAUGCGUAAACAGAUAGAAAACAAUCAAUUGAAUCACCAUUGGAAAAGACAAUGAAGAUUGAAUAAAACCCUAACUUUGAAUUGAUAAUUUAGCUUGUAAAAUUGGAGAUUUUAGAAACCCUAAGGAGGAAAGGACUCCAUAGGUGAAUACUAACACACCUUAGAUAUAAAUUCCCAAAAGAUAUGGUAAAAUUGAGACCUUGGUAAUUGGUACCUAACUUCAUCUUCCUUAGUCUGUGGGAAAAUUUGGGGAAGAAUUUGGAGGGAAAUUUUGAAAUUAAGUGAAUGAUUUAGAAUGUGUAGUUUUAAGACUUAAUUCACUUGUAUAGGUCUUGAAAUAGGGUUUGAAACGACUUAGUUUAGGUAGAAAACACUUAUAGAAACAAAUAAAAUGACCCUAGCUUAAUAACCGAUAGAAUCACCUAAAAAGAAAGUUUGGAUGGUCCGUACACGACCUCACUGGUCGUCUAGGGAAUGGUCAUAGAGACCCCCCCCCCCUUCCUAGAAACCUAUAAAUGGUUGGGUUUGGUCUCAUAAAUGGGUCUUCCACCUAUAUACUGGACGUUUAUGGAAUCGUCCAAGUGCCUUGGGUCCUAACAGCCCUAAACGACUAGCCCACUUGCCUUAAGUGGAUAUUGGUGUUAGGAUCGAAUUCACGCACACACACUAGAUGAAUGGAAAAUACAAGAACUUUCAAGAGAAAGAGAUGAGAGAUCUAGAGAGAGAAAGAGAAAACCCAAUAUUUCGUGGUAACACCCCGUGAGUAAACUUUCACGGCGGUGAGGUAUAUUUAUAUUUAUAAAUCAGAGUAUUUUUGGUUACAGAGAAUAAAUAGGAAAACCUAAAAUAGAGAAUAAAUAGGAAAGCCUAAAAUAGAGAAUAAAUAGGAAAACCUAAAAUUAAUCAGGCUCCACUACCUAACAAUUCUCCCACUUGGAGACUGACUCAGUCAUCCAAAAAAUACAUUCUCAAAAAAAUAUCUUCAUCAUCAACAUCUUUACCGCACCGCAACAUCUGUAGCAACAACUACAGAAGACUAACCGAAGUUUUACAUAACCUUAGUUUCCCAACAUCAACACAUUUCGUCAACAUGUCUGCUGGGUUUCUUUCACCUUCUAUCUUCUCCAAGCACAUAUCACCAUCCUCCACUGCCCUGCGAGUGAAAUGGUAUCGCCUUCUGAUGUGCUUUGUCUUCGAAUGAUAGACUGGAUUUUUCACCAACUGUAUGGCACUUUGGCUAUCUGAGUAAAGAAUCUUCUCGCUCUGCUUCUUGCCCAAUUCCUCAAGAUAAUCUACCAGCCAUAUCAUCUCUUUCCCAGCUUCAGCUAUUGCCACAUACUCAGCUUUAGUAGAUGAAAGAGAAACACACUUCUGAAGCCUGGACAUCCAACUCACUGUUGUUCCACCUAUGGUGUAAAUGUACCCGGAUGUACUCUUGAUCGAGUCAACAUCCCCACCAUGAUUAGCAUCCACAAAACCCUGUAGAGUUACCUUGCCUUUGCCAAAACAAAGUGAAGUACUGGAUGUACCUCUCAGAUAUCUCAGAAGCCACUUCACAGCUUCCCAAUGCUCUUUCCCAGGGUUCGCCAUGUACCUGCUAACUACUCCCACUACAUGUGCUAUAUCAGGUCUAGUGCAGACCAUAGCAUACAUCAAAAUACCAACUGCUGAAGCAUAUGGAACAAGUGCCAUGUGAUCACGCUCCUCGGCAUUCUUGGGUGACUGCUCCUUUGACAAUUUAAAGUGAUUUGCCAAUGGAGUAGUCCUUGGUUUAACAUCAUUAACGCUGAAUCUGCUCAGCACCUUCUCAAUGUACAACUCCUGAGAUAGAUUUAAAGUGCCAGCAGAUCUAUCCCGAGAAAUCUUCAUCCCCAAAAUCUGCUUUGCUGGACCCAAAUCUUUCAUCUCAAACGCUGUAGACAACCUUGUCUUCAGAUUGUUAAUCUCCCUCAUACUAGAUCCUGCAAUCAACAUAUCAUCCACAUACAAGAGUAGAAAGACAUAUGAAUCAGUGUAUUUCUUGAAGUAACAACAAGGAUCCUUUUCAGCUUUGCAGAAUCCACUCUUGGUCAUGAAGGAGUCAAACUUCUUGUACCACUGCCUUGAGCUUUCUUUAGUCCAUACAAGCUCCUAGUGAGCUUGCACACCAUGUGUUUCUUGCCUGGAACCACAAAUCCUUCCAGUUGCUGCAUAUAGAUCUCUUUGUCCAGAUCUCCAUGUAAAAACGCUGUUUUUUACAUCCAUUUGUUCUAGAUGCAAAUUUUCCGAUGCAACAAUACUCAACAGAAUUCGAAUAGAGGUUAACUUCACAACAGGAGAGAAUAUUCCAGCAUAAUCAAUACCUUUCCUUUGUGAAUAUCCUUUAACCACUAAACGAGCCUUGAACCUUCUUUUGCCAUCUGGUUCAGUCUUGAUUCUGAACACCCACUUGUUCAGCAAAGCUCUCUUCCCUUGAGGUAACUCAGUCAACACCCAUGUAUCAUUCUUCUCAAGUGACCUCAUCUCAUCAUCCAUGGCUUGCUCCCACUUGAUCGAAUCCUCCACCUGUAGGGCCUUAUCAAAAGACUCUGGUUCCCCCUCAUCAGUCAGCAAUAGAUAGUGUAAUGAAGGUAAAUACAUAUCUGGUGCCCUGAUGGAUCUAGAUGAUCUCCUUAACACCUGCUUAGCUGUAACUUGCUCCACUUCAGAUUCUUCAGUAGGAGUUGGUUGAGUAUCAGCUUCGACACCUCUGGGGUUACUCUUCUCCAACUCAACCUCAACUCCCACUUGCUUUGUAAUCUCUAGAACCUUCUGCUCUCUGUCCUUGUACAGGACAGACUCAUCAAAUGUUACGUCACAAUGUCUCAAGAUCUUUUUGUUCUUGUCAUCCCAAAACCUAUAACUAAACAAAUCAGAACCAUAUCCUAUGAAGUAACACUUCAAAGCCUUGGCAUCAAGCUUGUCUCUCUUUUUUGGAUCAACAUCAACAUAAGGAGUGCAACCAAAAGUCCUCAAGUGUGAGUACUUGAGUUCUUUUCCUGUCCACACCUCCUCUGGAAUCUUGAACCCUAAAGGAACUGAUGGUCCCCUGUUGAUCAAGUAUGCAGUUGUGCUCACAGCAUCUGCCCAAAGUGUUUUGGGCAGCCCACAGUGUAUCCUCAUACUCCUUGCACGCUCAUUCAAUGUUCUGUUCAUCCUCUCAGCAAUUCCAUUCUGCCUUGCCUUACCAGGAACUGUCCUCAUCAAUCUGAUUCCCUCAGCUGCACAGAAUGCCUUGAACUCUGAUUUGUCAUACUCUCCUGCAUUGUCAGACCUUAGGCAUUUGACUUUCAAACCGGUCUGAUUCUCAACUUCAGCUUUCCACUUCUUGAAAGUUGCAAACACAUCUGACUUAUGCUUCAAGAAGUAAACCCAUACCUUCCUGCUUAAAUCAUCAAUGAACUUAACAUAGAAUCUGGAUCCUCCAAGUGAUAUUACUGGGGAUGGUACCCAAACAUCUGUAUGGACCAUUUUCAACCGCACUUUCUUUGGCUCUCUAGGAGUCUUUGUGAAGCUUACUCUUUUCUGUUUGCCCAUAACACAGCUCUCACAAAGACCCAUAUCAACAGACUUCAGACCCUCUAAUGCUCCUUUUGCAACCAGCAUCUUCAUUCCUUUAGUACUCAUGUGUCCAAGUCUGUUGUGUCACAGACAUGAACCAGAAGCACCUUCAGCAACAACGACCAUGUUUAUACACCCUGCAGUGGUGUACAAGGUUCCAGAAUUGGUGCCACGAGCUACUACCAUAGCACCUUUCACGAUCUUCCACGAACCUUUCCCAAACUCUGUUGCAUAUCCCGUGCUAUCAAACUGACCAAUAGAGAUAAGAUUUUUCUUGAUUCCAGGAAUAUAUCUGACAUCCUCCAUUUUCCACUGGUUUCCCGAGGUGAUCUUUAUGCAAACAUCCCCCUUUCCUUCAAUCUCUAAGGCUUUAUUGUCAGCAAGAUAUACUUUUCCAAAAUUUCCAGAUUUGAAGUUUUGGAACAACUCUUUGCUUGGAGACGAAUGGAAAAAUGCACUAGAAUCCAAAAUCCAUGAUUCAACUGGGCUGUUCACACUAAGGAUUAGAGCAUCCCCAAUGUCCUAUGCUGAAUUUACAGAAUAAUUGUCAUCUCCAAAUUUCUGAUUAUGUUUCUUCUUUGGCUUUGUAUAGUUCGUCCGAAAGUGCCCUUUUUUUCCAUAGUUCCAACAAGUCAUGUUUGAUCUGUUCAGUGAUUUUCCUCGAUUCUUUAAUUUUGAUCGACCAUGUUGAUUUUGGCCUUUCGUCUUACUUCUCCCCCUUCGAUCAACGCUGAGAGCACUGCCCGAUGAAUCUCCCACUUCUCGUUUGCGAAUACUUUCGCUAAGAACAACAUCACGGAUUUCAUCAAACUUCAGUUUCUCAGAUCCACGGGAACUGCUAAUCGCAGCAACAACAGUAUCCCAAGACUCGGGCAGAGAUGAAAUCAAAAUCAACGCCUUAAUUUCAUCUUCGAAAUUAAUAUCCACAGAAUUGAGUUGACUCACAAUCAUAUUGAACUCGUUUAUAUGAUCAGAAACGGAUCCAGUUUCAGACAUCUGUAAAUUGAACAAAAUCUAUGCAUCAAAUAUACCUUGUUCAUAGCCGAUGGUUUUUCAUACAUGUUUGACAGUGCCUUCAAUAGACCGGACGUAGUCUUCUCCUUCACGAUGUUGAACGCCACAUUUCUUGACAAUGUCAACCGGAUCAACCCUAGAGCCUGGCGAUCCUUGAGUUUCCACUUCUCCUCCGUCAUGGAUUCCGGCUUCACCCCGGUCAACGGUUCGUGAAGAUCUUUCUGGUACAGAUAAUCUUCGAUCUGCAUCUUCCAGAAACUGAAAUCGGAUCCAUCAAACUUCUCGAUUCCAAGUUUCGAACUAUCCAUCUUCUGUGAUCGUGUUGAAUCUCCUUAGCUCUGAUACUAGUUUUUAGAAUCGAAUUCACGCACACACACUAGAUGAAUGGAAAACACAAGAACUUUCAAGAGAAAGAGAUGAGAGAUCUAGAGAGAGAAAGAGAAAACCCAAUAUUUCGUGGUAACACCCCGUGAGUAAACUUUCACGGCGGUGAGGUAUAUUUAUAUUAAUAAAUCAGAGUAUUUUUGGUUACAGAGAAUAAAUAGGAAAACCUAAAAUAGAGAAUAAAUAGGAAAACCUAAAAUUAAUCAGGCUCCACUACCUAACAAUUGGUGUCCUAAACAUGCCGUUUAGGGUCUCGUGAAGGGUUUUCGACUUAUUUUAGGUUUGUGGACUUGCUCGUUAGCUCACUUUAACCUUUGCAAAACCCGAUGUGUUACAGUCACCCUCUAUGAAUGCAAGGUUUCCUGCACGAAUGCGAAGGCCAUGCAAGUUUCUCUCCGUGAAUGUGGCCAAGGAAUCGUGAACGUGAAGAAGAGAAUAGUGUUGUGUGAACACCUAAUUUUUUACCAAAAUAUAAAAAGUCAAACACCAAUUUUUUUUUAAAAAGGUUAUAUUUAAAAUAAAUAAAAAAUCAAUAAAUUGUGUAAAUUACUUUAAUAAUAAAAAAUUAUAAAUAUAUGGUAUUUGUUUUAAAUCUUCAACUUUUAAUUAGUUUAAAAAUAAUGGUAGAAGAAGAAAAAAGGGGAGUCCUAAAUAUUCAAAUUAUCUUCCCCUUAUCCUAAUUAUUCCCAACUUCCUAACUUAUUUUACUAAAAAAUCUCAUCCCAUUUAUUUUUUAUUUUUAUUUUUUUCUUUCUUCUCUCUCUCUCUCUGGACGUUAUUUCACAUUUUUUUUAAUUUUCUAUUAUUAUUAUUUAUUCAUUUUAUAUCCAUCCUUAUCUCAACCCAAUUCCCUCAACAAUAUUUCAAAUUAAAUCCUAAUCCAACUCUACUACGUUCCUUUUAAUUAGCACCAAACUCUCAGCCAAAAUUAUUAUAAAAAAACACGUUCAGUUGAAAAAAAGAGAACACACAGAUAUAGAGAAAUACAAAGAGGAAAAGAGAGAAAUACAGAGAGAAAUAUAUAGAGGAAGAAAAGUGAGUCAUUCUUUUGAGAGUUAGGCCAGAGUUAGAGUUUUUUUUUGUCGUGGUUCCAAAUUCGUGGCUCAAAUCAAUAGAUCAUAGAAGUUAUUUUUCGUGAUAGCCAUCUUCGCGGCGAGGUAAUUCUUAACUCUCGCAUUAUUUAAAUGUUAUGUUGUAUGAAUAUUUGAAUCUAUAAUAUGAAGUUCUUUGAAUCUUAUGUUAUUAUUAUGCAAUGUCAAUAUGUGAUGCAUGUUAAGAUUUUUUUAUUUUUUUCUCGAUCUGAAAAACGAAAAAAAAAUGUUUCUUGCUAACAAAAAUAAUAUAAAAUAAAAGAUGUAUCAUACAUUUUUUUUAAAAAUAUUUAUAAAAAUAAAAGAUGUAUCAUACAUUUUUUUUAAAGAUGAAAGGAGAAUGAAAAUAAAAAUAAAAUAUAAAACUAAUAAAAUAAAAAGUAAGAAACAAAAAAAAACGUUAAAAAAAAGAAGUAACAAAAAAAAUUAUUUUUUUUAAAAAAGAGAAAAAGACAAAAUCUAAAAAAAAAAGAAAAAAAGAAAAAGGAGAGAAACAGAUUUUACAAGAAAUAAAAUAAAAUAAAAUAAAAAAGAAAAUUUAAAAAUAAAACAAAAACGUAUGAAAAAAAAGAGAGACAAUUUUGUUUCAUUAAAAAAAAGAUAUUGCUAAUUUAUUUAGGAUUUCUUGAUAAAACUAACUUCAAAUCUUAUAAAUUUUUUUUUUAUUUUAAAUCUAAAAUAAAUAAAUAAAUAUAUAAUCCUAAAUUAACUUGAACUCUAAAUAUCUCCUUCCUACACAAACUCUAAUUCUUAGAAAUUAGAUAUCUAUAUAUAUUCUACCUAUAAUAACAGUAAAAAUUAAAAACAUACAAAUAUCAACAAAAAAUAAUAUAUAUAUAUAUAUAUAUAUAUAUAUAUAUAUAUAUAUAUAUAUAUAUAUAUAUAUAUAUAUAUAUAUAUAUAUACGGAUGUUCAAUUUUAAAAUUACACAAAAAAUAAAAAAAAUAAAGACCCUUUAAGAUAAAUAAGCCAGUUUCAAAUAAGUUUUAGAAUAAAUCUGAGGAUAAAUAACAAUUUUGUUAUUAAGUUUAAAUAAUACAAUGUCCAAAAAUUAAGUUAAGUCAUACUAAAGUUAAUAAAGCGAUCGUGCCAGAACCACGAGAAUUGAGGGGUGCCUAACACCUUCCCCUCAGUCAACAGAAUUCUUUACCCGAAUUUCUAGUUCGCAGACCAAUAAAAAAUAGAGUCAAAUUUCCUUUUGAUUAGGGAUUUAAAAAAAGGUGACUUGGAACACCAAAACUCAAUUCUAAGUGGCGACUCUAAAUAAUAAUUAUCCCUUUUCAAAACGUUACUUUAAUUGGAAAAACUCUUUUUCUUUCAAAAAAACAAAAAUAAAAAAUAAUUGAAAAAAAGGGGUGUGACAUGUUGCAUCAGCAACACUGCACCAAUUGUUUCCCAAGAGUAAGAAUUCCCUCGAUGGGAGCUCGGAAUUUAUCCGGAGCCAUGUGGACAAAACCAAACUAUGUUACCAAAUUAGAAAUGUCAAUCAACACCCAUUGGAGUCAACAAAAAAAAUGAUGAAAGUCGUCUGGUCAAAAUAAGUCAACACGUAAAAAGAAAUACCAGAUAAAAUGACAAAAGUCACAAACUCAUUCCGACCACCUUGGAAUCUAAAUCAGAAGUCCUAGACCAAAAUUGGUAUUUCAGAGCGAACUGUGCUGACAAAAUUUUCAUCGGAGUUCUUUUACCAACAAUAUUAACCAAAAUCAAACUUUGAUCAAAACUUCAAAGCUAAAACACCUAAUGACACAAACUCAAAAUGACAGCCUCCAAACCCAAACCAAUCAUCCCACUAAACCAAAAUGACCCUUCCAAUGAUGAUAGAAUUGAAGGAAUCCUCAUAUGACAUAUGAAUCUUCAUAUGUUGGCUAAAGUCAACUCUUUCACUUCGUCAGCCUCCAAUAGGGAAAAACCAACUCGAAACUCUCCCGGCUACCUCAGUAAAUGUUCUCAUCAAUCCAUCACCACUGAGAAAAAGUUAUUGGAAAGGAACAAAAUAAUAAAAGCAUGCAAAAAAUACAGAAAUGACCUGAAAUAGCAUUACAGUUUCACAUAAAGAUCCACACUUCACUUUAUGUAAUUUAUUUGCCUGACAACCUUAUUAUAGAGUCAUUUUUACUUUCACACCCACUAAAUCUUUUUCUAUUUUUUGUUGUGCUCUUUCUCCUCUACUUGCAUUUUCCAUUCGAUAUAAUAUCAUUUUAUAGCCUCGUAUCAUUAUUACAAAAAAUAAUUUUUAGUGGUAAUUAAUUAUUAAUUAUGGUUAAAUAUAUAUUUUUAACGGUAAUUAAUAUUCUUUGUAUAUGUGCCUAAAGUCUUUAGCAAAAUUGAAUCAAAUGACUACUAUAAUAAAUACUUUAGCAUUCUUUAUUAAUAUGUUUAUUUAUUACGCCUUAAAGUAGCUUUUGUUGUAGUGUAAAUAUUUUUGUUUUGUUCAUCAAUAUUAGCAUACUAUUUUUCACUCCAAAUAAAUUUACAUUACCUCCAACAAUUUUAAUUUUGCCAACAUCAUCAACAUUCAUCUGAUCUUCUUCUUUUGCUCCAUUUCUUGCUUUCUUUCUUUGUAUGUUUCCUCUCAAUACAAGUUGUUAAACACAUAUUACAAUUUCCUAGGUAAGUGGGUUUGGAAUAAAAAGGCAAGCUCCCUCUUCCAAAGCUUUCUUUAGUGAUAGUCCGUUUUCUUCGUCACAUACAAUUGCAUAAUAAUUUCAAGAACAUAGAAAUUAGAAUUGAAUUAUAUUAUACACUAUGUGAUAGUUAGUGACACAAAUAAUCACUAAAUUUUUCAUUAUAAAGGUAAUUUUACAAAAUAAUCAUAUAUAAUAUAUUUAAUAAAAUAGAAAUUAGUGAUAAAUAAUUUAUUAUCACCAAACAAAAAAAAUAGUGCCACUUACAUUAACGACGUAUCGUAUCCAAACAAUUUAACAUAUUAAUAUCAAAUUUUACAGUUGAUUUUCUUAAUCAUAUAUUAAUAAAAGUAACCGACUUUGCUCGUGAUAGAUGUCAUAAGUGAAAGAAUCAGAACAAUAUACUCAAGGCCCUUGAGUCAAGAGUUUAGAAGAAUCCAAAUCCGCUGAAUGGACACUGAUGAUUAUCGCAUCAAUUUUUUUAUUUUCUUUGGAGAACAUUGACAUUGCUUCUGAAUACGUAUCGACCGUGAUAAUUGCAUCAAUAUACCUUAAAAGUUAGUGAAAAAAAUAUGCACAAAAUUAUCUCGAUAAUUUUUAAUUUCUCAUAUAUAAUUCAAUUGUAAUUUUCUAGUUAUAUUGUUAUUUUUUAGUUUACGCAAUUGCACGUAUGAAUAAAUUAUAUUGUUAUCAAUGUGAGGAAUCAUAGACAAGUUUACCUAUAAAGCUAUUAAGGAUAAGUAAUUGAAUAUAUAUGUGUCAAUUGGAGAAGUAAAAUAAUGUUACGUUAAGAAGUGUUAUCAUCAUGAUAUUUUAUGUUUGUAAGUUAUUUUAUAGCAUGACCGUACUUUUUAGUAUGUUAAAAAUUGUCUAUUGUCUUAACAAAUUAAAAUAGAGAAAGAAAUUGAAUGAUUAUUAUAAUGGAACAAAAAUAAAAACAGUAUUUGAGCGUAGUAAUUCCGACAUGUUUUUUUGUACAAGGUAGAUUAUUGGUCGAUAAAAAUUAACACCAAACUAAUUAAGGAUAUUGAGAACAAUGCUACAUUGAAAAAAAAUUUAGUGGAUCAGUUGUAUUACAUAAGCUAAUUUCCAAAACACAUGAAAAUUAAAGAAUAAAAAAGAAAGCGAGACGAAGAAGAAAAAUAUGGAGCUUAACCCGCUAAUUAUAUCACCUUAUCGUACUAUAUUAAGCAUUUCUUUCUACUUUUACCCUGCUCCAUUGAACAUUCUUAAAAUUUCUUUUACUUUUUUAUACUUUUAUUUUGUAAUGUUUUACUUUAUUUUGCUUUUUUUUAAAAAAUAGUAUCCAAUCAAACACAUAUUACUAGAAAAAUUAUCAAGAUUCUCUAAAAGUGUGCAAAUAUAUAUUUACUAAUAUUAUAAUGCAUAUUCAGAAGAUAAAUAAAUGACAUCUUCAAAAUUUUUAGUUCACGUAGUUUAAUAUACUAGGUUAGUCAUCACUUGUUGAAAAAAAUGAAGAAUCAUCAAAUAAGUUUAGUUUCCACCUCUCUAAAAUAAAACUGAAAAAAUAGAAAAGAAAUUCCAUGAAUUCUGUUAAUUAUAUACUAUGAAAAGGAUAUUGACGAUUUUUAAUUUCUUCACUCAACUACAUCUAAUUUAUCUUUAUAUAUAUAAUUCUGUUAUUAAACUAUAUGAAAUUAGAAGACGAAUAAAAUAGGGAGAAGAGAAAAAUUUCUUAUUCAUAAGUAUAUUAAGGAUUCAUUGAUCUUUCACAAGUUUUAUUUACAAUGAAGGAAAACCCUUUAUUUAUAGGGGAAACCUUACUUGGUCCCCAUGUAGGAUUCCUAACCAUGUCGUACAACGACUCCACAGAAUUAGACAUUCACUAUAAUACAAAUUGUUCAUAACACUCCCCCUUGAAUGUCCAUAAAUUAUGUGCCUCGUUAAAAGCUGAAAGCCACUUGACUGUAAGGAGAGGACUUCCAGGGCUCGAUCUACGGCUGCGUCUUACUAGAUAAAACUCAGUAGGAAAAAAUCUAGUGAAGGAAAAAAAGUACACAUAUCUAAUAAUACGCAUUAUGGAUACCUCAUUAAAAACCUUACAAGGAAAAUCCAGUGGAACAAAACCUUGUGAGGAAAAAAGAGUACAUCGCGUAUUAACUCCCUUUAAUGACAACAUUAAUUCAGAGACUAGAAUCUUUGUUUUCCAAGCUUGUGCAGCAUCUUCUUGAAAGUUGUAGUUGGUAGAGAUUUAGUGAAUAAAUCAACAAUAAUAUUACUUGAACAGACCUCUUACAUGUUGAUAUCCCCAUUCUUGAGAGCUUAUGAGUGUAGAAAAACCUUGACGAAAUAUGCUUUCUUCUAUAUGCUUUUAUAAAUCUUCCCUUGAGGGUCAAAGAUUUCUGCAAGAUCCUUACUUCAACUUUUUUAAGCAAAUAAUCUAUUGCCAAGAUUUUCAAUUCUAAUCAUCAACUUGCAUAAUAAUACUUGUAUAUGCUCUAUGCAUUUUGAAUCUAUUUAAUCCUUAUGAGGAUGAUAAAUAAGUUUUUAAAAAACUUGUAUAUGCUUUAGAUUUUGGACCCAUUGGAUAUUUUCAUAUCAAUUUUGUCAAGUAACAACAUUUAAUAUUAGAUGUAUGACAUUUUCUAGUGCCUAGAAUGCAAGUAAAAUAAGCUUUACGGACUUCUUCACAUCCACCGUGCAAUGCAUGCGGUUAUUGAUAGACAGAAGAAUCAUGGUAUCCACUUCCGGGUAUUAGCAAAAGCGUUACGUAUGUCUGGUGGAGAUCAUAUUCACUCUGGUACCGUAGUAGGUAAACUUGAAGGUGAAAGAGACAUAACUUUGGGCUUUGUUGAUUUACUGCGUGAUGAUUUUGUUGAACAAGAUAGAAGUCGCGGUAUUUAUUUCACUCAAGAUUGGGUCUCUUUACCAGGUGUUCUACCUGUGGCUUCAGGAGGUUA